This is a non-coding RNA of Pelobates cultripes (western spadefoot toad), 386 nucleotides long. Lineage: Eukaryota; Metazoa; Chordata; Amphibia; Anura; Pelobatidae. The record is from the annotation of a GenBank genome assembly.
GUGAUUGAUGACUGGGCGGGUUCCGCCCCCAUUUUUGGGGACAAUAAAGAGGUUGCUCACAAGACCCGAGGAAUGCGUCGGGAUUUCCUGAAUAGCACCUUUGAGUGCCAGCUCUCGAACUUCCUCGGAGACGAGGGUCGUGUCUAGUGGGGAAAAAACAAAGCCUAUUAGAUACCCGUGGACCGCCCUGAGUACCCAGGCAUCUGAUGUAAUGAGAGCCCAGACAUGGGAAAAAUGUGUGUCUGCCCCAAAUUGCCACAGGUGAAGAAAUUUGAGAAAGGUAGCUUACCGUGAGGACGUCGUCCAGAAAGAGCGCCUCGUGCACCUGCCUCGUUGGGGGAAGAAGGUCGGAGUGGACCUCUGCCGGCCCCAACAAAAACCUUUGG